RNA transcript from Balaenoptera musculus (blue whale), 3660 nucleotides. It is a transcript of the gene named interleukin 21 receptor, with no coding region annotated. Lineage: Eukaryota; Metazoa; Chordata; Mammalia; Artiodactyla; Balaenopteridae. The record is from RefSeq and is a predicted model, not a curated record. The transcript is spliced from 10 exons.
GUGGGGCUGGGAUGGCAGGCACCGCCUCUGGCGGACCCACUGGCGUCUCUCUGCUGAGUGACCGAAGAGCUCGGGGUCCGACUGUCUGCCUGCUUCUCCCUGCGCGUGACUGACAGCCACCCGGCUGUCUGUCUGUCUGCCUGCCUGCCCGUCUGCCUGGCUGUCUGUCUGUCUGCCUGGGUGGCCAGCUAUCUCUUUGCUUGACUUCUCCUGUCUGACUGGCGGGCCAGCCCUUGGCUGCUGUCGGUCCAUCGUCGGUGCAGCUGAUCGGUCCCUGCCCAACAACCUCUGUCUUCUGUCCAUGUGUGACCUCUUUGGGACGUGACUGAUGGUUGCCUUUGCCUCUGCGUGGCCCGCCUGCCCGGAGCCCAGCUGCCGUCCGUCUGGGUGACAGGUCUUGUGCUGUCUGGUAGGUGACUUGGGGCAGGUUACAGCUUCCCACCCCAGUCCCCUGCCUGUUCUCCCAGACCCCCAUCCCUCACGCCAAGCCCUGGGAGCCCACCGGAUUGCCGGAAGCACAGAGAGAAUGGAUUUCUGAGAAAGAAGUAGGACAGCAGGCUCUGGCAGGCAGCAUGCUCUGCGGCUGGGCUGCCCCUUUGCUCCUGCUGAUGCUCCAGGGGGCCUGCGGCUGCUCAGACCUCGUCUGCUACACCGAUUACAUCCAGACGGUCACCUGCAUCCUGGAGACAUGGGCCCCGCACCCUGGCACGCUCACCCUCACCUGGCAAGACUCAUAUGGAGAACUGGAGGACGAGGUCACCUCCUGCAGCCUCUGCUGGUCCACCCGCAACGCCACGCAUGCGGAGUACACGUGCCACAUGGAUGUGUUCCAAUUCAUGGCCGACGACGUUUUCAGUGUCAACAUGACAGACCAGACCGGCAACCACUCCCAGGAGUGCGGCAGCUUCAUCCUGGCUAAAAGCAUCAAGCCAUCUCCCCCUUUCAACGUGACCGUGACCUUCUCCGGACAAUAUAACAUCUCCUGGAGCUCCAAUUACAAUUUCUACGCGCUGAAGGGCAAACUUCAGUAUGAGCUGCGGUACAGGAAGCUUGGAGACCCCUUGGCUCUGAGUCCAGGGAAAAAGCUGAUCUCAGUGGAUUCGAGAAGCGUCUCUCUCCUCCCCUUGGAGUUCCACAAAGGCUCAAGCUACGAGCUGCAGGUGCGGGCAGGGCCCCAGCCUGGCUCCUCCUUCCAGGGGACCUGGAGCGAGUGGAGUGACCCAGUCGUCUUUCACACCCAGCCAGAAGAGAUAAAGGGAGACUUGUACCCUCAACUGCUUCCCAUCCUGGUCCUCGUAUGCCCCAUCCUUGUCUUCUUAGGCCUGAAGAUCCACCUGCCUUGGAGGCUAUGGAAAAAGGUGUGGGUGCAGGUGCCCAGCCCAGAGCCCUUCUUCCAGCCCCUGUACAUGGGCCACAGCGGAGACUUCAAGAAAUGGGUGGGCACCCCCUUCACUGCCUCCAGCCUGGAGCUGAGAUCCUGGAGCCCAGGGGUGCCCUUGUCCCUGGAGAUGCACAGCCAGUGCCCACCGCAGACUGCAGCCAAGGGGCUGGUGCCCACAGAGCUGCCGGAGCCCCCAGACCUGGUGGAAGCCGACGGGGUGCUUGAGCCGGGCUCCUGGGGCCCAGCCCGCUCCACCGCCGGCAGCUUGGGCAGCUCAGCUCACAGCCAGGAGAGGGACCGGCCGUACGGCCUGCUAUCCAUCGACACGGUGACCGUGGUGGACGCAGAGGGGCUGUGCGCCUGGCCUUGCACCUGCGGGGAUGACGGCUACCCAGCCCUGAACCUGGACACCGGCCUGGAGCCUGGCCCGGGCACGGAGGACUCGCUCCUGGGCACGGGGGCCACCGUCCUAUCCUGUGGCUUCGUCUCAGCCAGUGGCCCUGCCGGGCCGGGGGGCCCCCUGGGCAGCCUCCUUGACAGGAUAAAGCUGCACCUCAAGGACGAAGAGGGUUGGGCCCCCGGGCCGCCCUGGGAUGGCGAGUCGCCCCGAGGGGUGUCGGACAGCGAGGCAGGUUCGCCCCCAGCUGGCCUGGACAUGGACACGUUUGACAGCGGCUUCGCGGACUCUGACUGCGGCAGCCCCGUGGAGCAUGACUUCAGUAGCCCCAGGGACGAAGGGCCCCCCAGGAGCUACCUCCGCCAGUGGGUGGUCACGGCCCCUCCACCUGCAGGGCCUGGGCCCCAGGUCAGCUAGUGAGGCUGCCUGGCCGUCCAGAGCCGGCCAUGCCACUGAGCCACGAGCCACGGACGGGGUCACCUGGGCUGAGGUGUAAAGAGGCCUGCAGCCCUCGGUCUCCCAGAUGGGACCCCUGAGCCUGGUGUUUACAGCGCGUGUCUGGGGCUCAGGUGCCCACUGGCGUGGCUGCGCGUGUGAGUAGCCUGCGUGCCUGUGGACACGGAGCUCGCCCGUGGUUCUGCCAUAUUCCCAAUGCCACUCGUGUGUCUGUGCCGGCGUGAGCUUCCUGUGUGCGCGAAUGUGAGCGGCACGCGUGUCUGUGGGCACGUGAUGACAGUCUCCCUCCCUCCGAGGCACGUGGGUGACCCCCGGGUCACGUGCCGAGAGGCUGGUCCAGUGCUGCCCACUGGGCCUGCUGGGACCAGGGCACUGCCUGGGACAGACACCAAGCCCAGCCCCCCAGGUCCUGCCUGCAGAGCCACAUAAAGUCCAAACUGUUCCUUACCGCCUUUCAGGGGGAGGGGAAGGGGACCAAGCGAGCCCACAGUGACCCCGGGGGUGGGAAGAUUUUGGGGGGAGCCGGUGGACCUGGCUCUGAAUCCUGACUCUGACACCUCCUGGCUGUGCCUUCUUGGGCUCCGAGGGGCAGGAUAUCCAUCUGACAAAUGAAGGUGCAGAAGGGGCCGCUGACUUGCCUGAGGUCACACACUGAAUUAAAUGUCAGAGUCAGAACUUGAACUCUGGGCUCCUGAUCCCAAGUCCAGCUAUCCUCACCUCGCUCCGCUGGAAGGCACCUAGGUCAGGGGCGAAGAAGCUCUCAGCAAACACCUGUGGGUGCCUGUGCUUCUGCCCUCACAGCAUCGUUGGGGUAGCUGACCCCAGCUCUGGGAGUCACCCAGGCCUGGCCAAGAGAGCAUUCUAUCCUCCUGGCCUCAGGGCCAGUUCAGGGUCAGACAUGUGACCAAGCUGGUCCAUACGCUUUUCCUGCUGGGACUGCUCAGCUGUAGGGCUAGACUGAGCCUGGAGCUGCUGGGUGGUGGGACCGGGGAGGGGGGCACCAGGAAGAAGCAGCUCACCUAAUAUGAGGCCAACACACUGGAAACCAGAGCUGGGAAGUGGGCAUAUACUCCUGGUAAUAUCCUCUUAAGCUCCUGGAUCCAGCCAUGCCUGAAACUACAUUCCCCCUGGACUUUUGAGGUAGAUGAGUAUGGAAGUCAUACUGUUCACCAAGUAUUUCCAGCUCUUGGCCUUCUGCCCCGCCUUGUGGUCAGAUGGCACCACAUGACCAGGAUUGGCCAAUGAGUGGUGAGCAGAAGUGGCAAGUCUCACUUCUGGACCAGAGCAUUGAACUGACAGUCGUGAUGCCCUUCAGAGUGUUCCUCUGUGCCACAGUGACCAGUGAUGUGUGAGAUGGUGGCUUCUCCAUCAGCCCGGGGCCUCGAGUGGGGAGAUGUGGAGCAGAACUUCUAGUUCACCUGUGAUG